GGGGCCUUAGCUCAGAUGGGAGAGCGCCUGCUUUGCACGCAGGAGGUCAUCGGUUCGAUCCCGUUAGGCUCCA
This 73-nucleotide transfer RNA is filed under the name Liquorilactobacillus nagelii. Its description in RNAcentral is "tRNA-Ala(tgc)". It matches the Rfam family "tRNA". From Rfam's summary of the family: Transfer RNA (tRNA) molecules are approximately 80 nucleotides in length. Their secondary structure includes four short double-helical elements and three loops (D, anti-codon, and T loops). Further hydrogen bonds mediate the characteristic L-shaped molecular structure. tRNAs have two regions of fundamental functional importance: the anti-codon, which is responsible for specific mRNA codon recognition, and the 3' end, to which the tRNAs corresponding amino acid is attached (by aminoacyl-tRNA synthetases). tRNAs cope with the degeneracy of the genetic code in two manners: having more than one tRNA (with a specific anti-codon) for a particular amino acid; and 'wobble' base-pairing, i.e. permitting non-standard base-pairing at the 3rd anti-codon position. RNAcentral also lists the same sequence under 1 other name. Lineage: Bacteria; Bacillati; Bacillota; Bacilli; Lactobacillales; Lactobacillaceae. The record is from RNAcentral.